Molecule: non-coding RNA, 742 nt
Filed under: Psolodesmus mandarinus
Lineage: Eukaryota; Metazoa; Arthropoda; Insecta; Odonata; Calopterygidae
Source: RNAcentral
UAAAAGUUUUAUCCUUGCUAAUUAAUCCUUUUAAUUUUAUUUUAUAUGCUAGUCUUGUUUCUAAAAGUGACUAUAAUGCAGUGGUUAAUAUUGGUUUUCAAUUCACUUUGGAUACAGUAAAUUUUUUAUUCCUGUCAAAUUUCGUGCCAGCAGUCGCGGUUACACGAUGGGGGGCAAGGAUUAUUUUUGGUUUAAUAGUAAUUUUAUUUUUUACUAUACUUAGAUUAUUUUAGGUGAAAUUUAUAUUUCUAACUAAUGUAUUUUUUUAUUCUAUGAAACUUGAGAUUAAAACGAGGAUUAGAUACCCUCUUAUAUUAAGUGUUAAUUUUGCCUGGGUAGUAUUAGUUAUGUUCUUGAAACCCAAAGGAUUUGGCGGUAUUUUAUUCCGUUCAGAGGAGCCUGUCCUGUAAUCGAUAUUACACGAUAUUUUCUACUUAUUCUGGUUCUCAGUUUGUAUACCUCCGUCAUAAGGGUGUCUUUUUAGAGUUAAUUCCCGGCUUUAUUCAAUGUAUAGAUGUCAGGUCAAGGUGCAGUUUAUGAAUAAGUUGAGAUGGGCUACAUUAAAUAUAUUUAAACGGAUAUGGUUUAUUUAUAGGCUAUUGAAGGUGGAUUUGAAAGUAAAAUUUAUUGAUUAGGUUUUUUGAAUUUGCUUCUAAAAUAUGCACACAUCGCCCGUCGCUCUCGUGAUAAAUGAGAUAAGUCGUAACAUAGUAGAUGUAUUGGAAAAUGUAUCUAGUAAGUC